RNAcentral lists this ribosomal RNA (1256 nucleotides) under Streptomyces sp. WAC07061. RNAcentral describes it as "partial 23S ribosomal RNA". It matches the Rfam family "Bacterial large subunit ribosomal RNA", at positions 1 to 1288 of the family's 2925-position model. Lineage: Bacteria; Bacillati; Actinomycetota; Actinomycetes; Kitasatosporales; Streptomycetaceae. The record is from RNAcentral.
GGGUUGUGAGGUUAAGCGACUAAGCGUACACGGUGGAUGCCCUGGCAGUCAGAGGCGAUGAAGGACGUGCUAAUCUGCGAUAAGCGUCGGUAAGGUGAUAUGAACCGUUAUAACCGGCGAUUUCCGAAUGGGGAAACCCAGUGUGAUUCGUCACACUAUCAUUAACUGAAUCCAUAGGUUAAUGAGGCGAACCGGGGGAACUGAAACAUCUAAGUACCCCGAGGAAAAGAAAUCAACCGAGAUUCCCCCAGUAGCGGCGAGCGAACGGGGAGGAGCCCAGAGCCUGAAUCAGUGUGUGUGUUAGUGGAAGCGUCUGGAAAGGCGCGCGAUACAGGGUGACAGCCCCGUACACAAAAAUGCACAUGCUGUGAGCUCGAUGAGUAGGGCGGGACACGUGGUAUCCUGUCUGAAUAUGGGGGGACCAUCCUCCAAGGCUAAAUACUCCUGACUGACCGAUAGUGAACCAGUACCGUGAGGGAAAGGCGAAAAGAACCCCGGCGAGGGGAGUGAAAAAGAACCUGAAACCGUGUACGUACAAGCAGUGGGAGCCUCUUUAUGGGGUGACUGCGUACCUUUUGUAUAAUGGGUCAGCGACUUAUAUUCUGUAGCAAGGUUAACCGAAUAGGGGAGCCGAAGGGAAACCGAGUCUUAACUGGGCGUUAAGUUGCAGGGUAUAGACCCGAAACCCGGUGAUCUAGCCAUGGGCAGGUUGAAGGUUGGGUAACACUAACUGGAGGACCGAACCGACUAAUGUUGAAAAAUUAGCGGAUGACUUGUGGCUGGGGGUGAAAGGCCAAUCAAACCGGGAGAUAGCUGGUUCUCCCCGAAAGCUAUUUAGGUAGCGCCUCAUGUAUCACUGUAGGGGGUAGAGCACUGUUUCGGCUAGGGGGUCAUCCCGACUUACCAAACCGAUGCAAACUCCGAAUACCUACAAGUGCCGAGCAUGGGAGACACACGGCGGGUGCUAACGUCCGUCGUGAAGAGGGAAACAACCCAGACCGCCAGCUAAGGUCCCAAAGUCAUGGUUAAGUGGGAAACGAUGUGGGAAGGCCCAGACAGCCAGGAUGUUGGCUUAGAAGCAGCCAUCAUUUAAAGAAAGCGUAAUAGCUCACUGGUCGAGUCGGCCUGCGCGGAAGAUGUAACGGGGCUAAACCAUGCACCGAAGCUGCGGCAGCGACGCUUAUGCGUUGUUGUGUAGGGGAGCGUUCUGUAAGCCUGCGAAGGUGUAGUGUGAGGUAUGCUGGAGGUAUCAGAAG